CAGGGAGACAACAAAAUGUUAAAUAUUAAUUUUGUCACUUAGGUCGAUCGGUAUCUCACAUUCUUAAUUUAUUAAGAAUUUUAUUUCCUAAGUUUUUUCUAGGUCACACCCAUUACUUUUCCUGGGCCAUUAGCUCAGGUGGUUAGAGCGCACCCCUGAUAAGGGUGAGGUCCCUGGUUCAAGUCCAGGAUGGCCCAUAUCUCUAUGUUGGGGGUAUAGCUCAGUUGGUAGAGCGCCUGCUUUGCAAGCAGGAUGUCAGCGGUUCGAGUCCGCUUACCUCCACUGAUUACCACCUCUUCCAUAUUUUUAAGAAGGAAAAUGUUUUGAGUUAUGAUCAAAUUCUGAACGAAUCUAGCUUCCUAAAUAAUCUUAUUAAGAUGCUGGACUCAUUGAAUUAAAUUCAUUGUUUUCAGAGAACCUUGACAACUGCAUAGAUUAUUUUUAAAGACAAUAAGCAUCUUUAAUGAUGCAGAUUUAUUAUUUGUGCGAAUGCAUUAAUAACAAUUCUAUUAAGCUGAUGCUUCAA
RNAcentral lists this transfer RNA (526 nucleotides) under uncultured Prochlorococcus sp. Its description in RNAcentral is "partial 16S-23S ribosomal RNA intergenic spacer". The stretch from base 210 to 282 matches the Rfam family "tRNA". Lineage: Bacteria; Bacillati; Cyanobacteriota; Cyanophyceae; Synechococcales; Prochlorococcaceae. The record is from RNAcentral.